This 24-nucleotide non-coding RNA is filed under the name Arabidopsis thaliana (thale cress). Lineage: Eukaryota; Viridiplantae; Streptophyta; Magnoliopsida; Brassicales; Brassicaceae. The record is from RNAcentral.
UGAAAUUAUUUCUUGGAUCCGCCA